Molecule: transfer RNA, 72 nt
Filed under: Monosiga brevicollis
Lineage: Eukaryota; Choanoflagellata; Craspedida; Salpingoecidae
Rfam family: tRNA
About the family: Transfer RNA (tRNA) molecules are approximately 80 nucleotides in length. Their secondary structure includes four short double-helical elements and three loops (D, anti-codon, and T loops).
Source: Rfam by way of RNAcentral
GGCGCUUUAGCUUAGUGGUAGAGCGUUGGUCUUGUAAACCAAAGGUCACGAGUUCAAUUCUCGUAAGCGCCU